AGCGAACGCUGGCGGCAGGCCUAAAACAUGCAAGUCGAGCGCCGUAGCAAUACGGAGCGGCAGACGGGUGAGUAACACGUGGGAACGUGCCUUUUGGUUCGGAACAACACAGGGAAACUUGUGCUAAUACCGGAUAAGCCCUUACGGGGAAAGAUUUAUCGCCAAAAGAUCGGCCCGCGUCUGAUUAGUUAGUUGGUGGGGUAACGGCCCACCAAGGCGACGAUCAGUAGCUGGUCUGAGAGGAUGAUCAGCCACACUGGGACUGAGACACGGCCCAGACUCCUACGGGAGGCAGCAGUUAGGAAUCUUGGACAAUGGGCGCAAGCCUGAUCCAGCCAUGCCGCGUGAGUGAUGAAGGCCCAGGGUUUUUGAAAGCUCUUUCAGCGGGGAAGAUAAUGACGGUA
RNAcentral lists this ribosomal RNA (404 nucleotides) under uncultured bacterium. RNAcentral's name for it is "bacterial SSU rRNA". It matches the Rfam family "Bacterial small subunit ribosomal RNA", at positions 29 to 477 of the family's 1533-position model. The record is from RNAcentral.